RNAcentral lists this ribosomal RNA (496 nucleotides) under uncultured bacterium. RNAcentral's name for it is "partial 16S ribosomal RNA". It matches the Rfam family "Bacterial small subunit ribosomal RNA", at positions 28 to 506 of the family's 1533-position model. The record is from RNAcentral.
GACGAACGCUGGCGGCGUGCCUAAUACAUGCAAGUUGAGCGCUGAAGGUUGGUACUUGUACCAACUGGAUGAGCAGCGAACGGGUGAGUAACGCGUGGGGAAUCUGCCUUUGAGCGGGGGACAACAUUUGGAAACGAAUGCUAAUACCGCAUAAAAACUUUAAACACAAGUUUUAAGUUUGAAAGAUGCAAUUGCAUCACUCAAAGAUGAUCCCGCGUUGUAUUAGCUGGUUGGUGAGGUAAAGGCUCACCAAGGCGAUGAUACAUAGCCGACCUGAGAGGGUGAUCGGCCACAUUGGGACUGAGACACGGCCCAAACUCCUACGGGAGGCAGCAGUAGGGAAUCUUCGGCAAUGGACGAAAGUCUGACCGAGCAACGCCGCGUGAGUGAAGAAGGUUUUCGGAUCGUAAAACUCUGUUGGUAGAGAAGAACGUUGGUGAGAGUGGAAAGCUCAUCAAGUGACGGUAACUACCCAGAAAGGGACGGCUAACUACGU